CCUACGGGGGGCAGCAGUGGGGAAUAUUGCACAAUGGGCGCAAGCCUGAUGCAGCGACGCCGCGUGAGGGAUGACGGCCUUCGGGUUGUAAACCUCUUUCGCCAGGGACGAAGCGUAAGUGACGGUACCUGGAGAAGAAGCACCGGCCAACUACGUGCCAGCAGCCGCGGUAAUACGUAGGGUGCGAGCGUUGUCCGGAAUUACUGGGCGUAAAGAGCUCGUAGGCGGUUUGUCGCGUCGUCUGUGAAAUUCUGCAACUCAAUUGCAGGCGUGCAGGCGAUACGGGCAGACUUGAGUACUACAGGGGAGACUGGAAUUCCUGGUGUAGCGGUGAAAUGCGCAGAUAUCAGGAGGAACACCGGUGGCGAAGGCGGGUCUCUGGGUAGUAACUGACGCUGAG
This 400-nucleotide ribosomal RNA is filed under the name uncultured bacterium. RNAcentral describes it as "bacterial SSU rRNA". It matches the Rfam family "Bacterial small subunit ribosomal RNA", at positions 338 to 750 of the family's 1533-position model. The record is from RNAcentral.